Carica papaya (papaya) is the source of this 1692-nucleotide non-coding RNA. Lineage: Eukaryota; Viridiplantae; Streptophyta; Magnoliopsida; Brassicales; Caricaceae. The record is from RefSeq and is a predicted model, not a curated record.
CCUCCCCUUAAAAGAUUUCAUAAUUCCUUGUUUAUCUUCUUCCUAUUACAUGCUUCCUUGUAUACCCAGUAUUUGAAUAUCAAGUUUCUGGAUCCUGGGUGAUUGACUUAUUUCGAAGAUGUGUUUUUGGAAUAUUUUCUCUGGGAUUCCUUCCUCUGAUGAUAACAAUGAAAGAGGGACUGGUGCCAUAUUUGGAUUAUAGGGUUCAUUAGAUUGUGCUUUACAGUAUUGUUUUUCUGGGAUUAUGGAGGACUACAACUUAGCGUUCAUGAUUCGUGUAAUAACCAUAAAGGUGAUUGUUCCUUUGUCAAAUUAAGGGAGCAUAGUGAAAGGCACAUUGUCCAAUGUCUAUAUUUUGUAAGCCAUAUGGUCUAUAUCAGAAUGCUAUUCCUUUUUUUUUUUUUUGUAUCUCAUUUGUUUCUGUUGCCAAAAGCCAUAUAAACCCAGAAAGCAGUUUAGAAAAGAACAAAUGAACGUUUAGGAGUUAGGAGUUUUGUCUUCGUAUCUUAGUUGAAUACCGGAAUAAGAAGACCCAGGCAUCAUAGUCCAGUGAUCUGUCAGAAUUCAUUAGAGUGCUUGAGUUUUACUCCAGGUACAAAAAAUAACAUUGGCCAAAAGAAGAGAUGGUAGUAUGCCUGAAAUUUAUUAAAGGUAUUGUGGUUAUGGAUCCAUAUCCUGGUUAGGUUGGCUAGUAUACUAAUUCAUAGACCCAAGUGGCCAAACAAUCCAGGGGUCCCUUGCAUUUUCAACAAUGCAUCAACUUUUAUUAAUAAGAGUUGGAAGCAUAUACAAAUUGAUGAUUAACAUAUAAUCUGUCAUGUAGGUUUAUCAAUGAUAAGAAGGGCUUCGUGCUUGGGAACGAUGGGGUCUUGCUCCGAUAUCUUGGUUAAAGUGGUAAUCCACCCAAGGUUUUUCAAAGUGCUUGCAAUUUUGUAUAGUUGAUUUGUAUGCCUGGAUGUUUUGGCUGUAAAUUAUAUACAGAGGUACCAAACUUUCCCUGCAAUUCAAUACCGUAGUUGCAAUGUUUUUAUAGAAUUAGCUGUGAUUCUUUGUGAUCUGUUGUACCCCGAAAGAAGCUCUCACAGAAAUGAUGAGAUUAUGAUGUUCUUUUAUCAAGUAUUGGCCUACGUUGUAAGUCCAUUCCAAUGAAUACAUGAAUUAAGAGUUGCAAGUUUAACUUGGGUUAUAGACUUUCUGAAGAAUUUGUCAGACACGAACUAGUGAGUCCUAGCAGUUGAAUGAAGUUGAUUGAUUAAAGAAUAGAAUCUUGGGGAAAGACCAAACCAUGAUAAUUACUUGGUAAUCAAAUUUCAGUUAUUCUUUUCAAUAUAUUUGAUCGAUAGAUUUGGCUAUUGUAGUAGGAAAAAUUAUUAGAUAUUUUAGGAGUAUAGUUAAGUUAGUAUACCUCAUAAACUUUAAUCUUGUUUGUUUCUAUAACUUUUUAAUAUAAAUUUAAAACAAACUAAUCAAAUUAAUGAGAGUUAUCAACUUGUAUGUACUUUGUGAAGUAGCUUAUAGUUUGUUGUUUUUGCAGUAAUUGAUUCUUCAUUUUCUCCAACAGUGAGAAGACAAACUUCUCUAUUCUGUUGAUUUGACAGAGAUGGUGGGAGUAAUGUAAAACUUUAUGUUUUUAAAAGGAAAAAAGAAAUAUUUUUCAUUAGAACUUAAUAAUAACUAUCUUAUUGCAGUGCA